Vespula pensylvanica (western yellowjacket) is the source of this 2194-nucleotide long non-coding RNA. RefSeq lists it as uncharacterized. The record is from RefSeq and is a predicted model, not a curated record. NCBI's taxonomy places the organism in Eukaryota, Metazoa, Arthropoda, Insecta, Hymenoptera, Vespidae. The transcript is spliced from 3 exons.
GCGUUCAUUUCGCAAGAAAUAUUCCUCCGAUCUGAAAAAGUAGCAGGACUCCUCUUGGUGCACGAUUUUGUGGCAGCCAUAAAAUUCUUAAAAUGCAUAGUUACAAUGAAAUUGUGGGCACGAAUGUAACCCUCGGCUAAGGUUAAUCUGGCGAGAGCAUCGCGACGCCUGGCUAAUGGCACGUCCGACGGUUGCGUGCCAGCAUUUUCAGCCAAGCAGUCGUCGAGCAUCCGUCCUGCUCGGGAGGGAGCUCAGCCGACUGAGUGAUGAAGUGAGUGUGGAGUGAGGCCUAUUUUUGUGCUUACCGACAAACAGCCUCGUAGAUCUCAUGACACGUCGUUAGAAGCCCACGAAAAUACACUCGAUGUUACUCCAAAGUGCUAUGAGAUAUCCGCAGAGAGUUUACCUUCUUAGUUUAUUCCAAGAAACAACAGAAACGUUCUUUUCUUCCUCCCGAUUUUUUCGGUACACACAUUAACCUAUCGUAUUUACCUACGCUCUAGAGAGUUUACCUUCUUUGUUUAUUCCAAGAAACAACAAAAACGUUCCUUUCUUUCUCCCGACUUUGUUCGUACACACAUUAACCUAUCGUAUUUACACUCUCCGAUCGUUGUAAUCAUGCGAUCAAACGUCCGACAAUAUACAAACAAAUCUUAUCUAACCGAUAUAUAUUGUUCUUAACUUUGUUUCGUAUCGGAGAAAUCGUUCAGAAACUAUCCGGAAUGGUCUUAAUCGAAUCUCAUUAAUCUUAAGUUCCACAUAGAUUAAACGUCUCUAUUUGGAUCAAUGACAGCUUUUCUCCCGAUUAUCAAACUCACGUAAACGCCUUGAAUUCGCAGGAUAUUCAAUUACGUCGAAUGCUCGUGCGAAGCGAAGCAAGGCCCCGAAAUUAGCUGGCAUCUCGACCGAUACGAAUACGGACCGAGCAUGAAACCGUGUCUAACGAGCGUUCGCUCGCCCGUCCAAGGGGUUUUGUACGAAACUAGCCUGCAGACAUCGGUGGCAAAUGAUCACUGCGGUCGUAGAAGUCUAGCGGAACUAGGAUUAUCCAGAUAUCUAUGGAUAUAUCUGACGCUUAGGAACGUGGCAUUUUAACACUCAAGAAGAUCUCAAACGCUUAAUCGACGUCGUAUCACCAAAGAAAAAGUUAGAAAGGAGAGAUUUCGAGAAUGACUACGGACAGGCGUCCGCUCUAUAUCAGCUUUUACACUGACUCCCUUCGUGACAGUUACCACCGUGCCGUUCGAAGAUGCUCAUUCUACAAAGUUAUUGCCAACAGCUGUACAACUUUUUUCGAUCGUUUCGUUCGCGCUCCGAAAAUUAUCGCCUACCAGGCGAACGCUUUACGAUGAAGACGCAAGCAUAACCUUCUCUUCCGAUCGAGCGUUCUUUAUACGUCCAUAAAGGGAAAUUAAUGUUCUGGAUGGUAAUGGUAAAUGGAGUGGAAAGAAGACAAGAAAUCGUAAGAUAAACGACAUCGGGAUGUGCCGAAGGCUGGCAUCUUUUAUCGAUGAGAAACGAAAGAAGAAGGUGCAAGCGAGAGAUCGAAAUUUUAAGUUAAAUUUUGAUCUUGUGGAAAGGUCACUACAAAGAUAACUUUAGCGUUCUCUUUGCAAAUAGCUAUUUAUUCGAUAAUUCAUCUUGUAAAAAAGGUAAAAUUUAUAUAUUAUCGAUGCAUUAUGUUUAUGCGUGUAUAUAAAUGACUUCUUAAAUGAGAUAACGAUUUAACUAGGAUACAUUUAACUUUCCGAUUUUUUUUAUGCAAACACGAAAGAAGCAACUCCGUAAAUGAGAGUGAAAUUUGAAUCGAUCACAAGGGGAACUCUCUACGGUGAAAGGAAAUGCACGAGGAAGCGAUCGCGGAUGAUGAACGAUCGGGUCGAGAGAAAAUAAAGUGGUAGAUCGUAGAGCGGAGAAACGUCGAUGGGAAGCAUUCCCAUCUAUCAAGCCCUUCCCCGAUAAUCAUCGGUUGCCGACCGAACUCGAGUAGAAACAAAAUCUCGUGAAACGACUAAAAAAUGAGAUCAACGCGGUAUCCCCGCUUCAUCUCUUGCCACUCUCUCGUCUUCCGCACCUCCUUCCCUCCCUAUUUCCUCUCUCUUUCUCUCAUUUACUCUCUUUAAAUCUCUUGCAACGAUUAGCAAAUUGAGAAUAUUGAAGAUGAGAUGAUACAGUAGAUAGGAGAUAAUAACGU